This 70-nucleotide transfer RNA is filed under the name Naegleria gruberi. It matches the Rfam family "tRNA". From Rfam's summary of the family: Transfer RNA (tRNA) molecules are approximately 80 nucleotides in length. Their secondary structure includes four short double-helical elements and three loops (D, anti-codon, and T loops). The record is from Rfam by way of RNAcentral. Lineage: Eukaryota; Heterolobosea; Eutetramitea; Acrasida; Naegleriidae.
UCCCCCUUAGCUCAGUCGGUAGAGCGUCAGACUGUUAAUCUGCAGGUCGAUAUUCAACCCACCAGGGGGA